Non-coding RNA from Prunus avium (sweet cherry), 729 nucleotides. The record is from RefSeq and is a predicted model, not a curated record. NCBI's taxonomy places the organism in Eukaryota, Viridiplantae, Streptophyta, Magnoliopsida, Rosales, Rosaceae.
AUUUAGUACCGGGAAGAUCUUUAUGAGAGCUACAUUGUAGAAUUGGAGAGGAAGGAAAAAGAACAGGCGGCUGAAGAGCAUAAGCAGAAUAUUGCAUAGUAUAGAAAAUUCUUGGAAUCUUGUGACUUUAUCAAGGUGAACAGCCAGUGGCGGAAAGUUCAAGAUCGCUGAGAGGAUGAUGAGAGAUGCUUGCAUCUUGAAAAACUUGACAGGUUGCUCAUUUUCCAGGACUAUAUUCGCGACCUUGAGAAGGAAGAAGAGGAGCAAAAGAAGGUACAGAAGGAACAAUUGUGGCGGGUUGAGAGGAAAACCGCAAUGAGUUUCGAAAGCUGAUGGAAGAACAUGUUGCCGACGGUACUCUUACAGCUAAAACUCACUGGCUCGAUUACUGCAUGAAGGUUAAAGACCUGUCUUCGUAUGAAGCUAUUGCAUCUAAUACCUCUGGUUCAACACCAAAAAAAUUGUUUGAGGAUGUUGCUGAAGAAUUAGAGAAACAGGUGUGUAACCUAGCAUCUUAUACCAUCAUGUCUUGAUCCAUUAAUCAUCUGUAUUUUAGCUAAUGUUGAGAAUAGAAUCCGACAUUGUGAAUGUAAAUAUAAUGUGAUUUGUCAAUGCAAUUGGCAAACAGGUAGUGCCAUUUGCAUUCCAGUCGUGCAAUUGACAAAGAAAGUAGUCUCAUUUGCAAUCCAGUUGAGCAAUUGCCAUUAUAUGUGCUCAAUUAAUUGAAAA